AACGAACGCUGGCGGCAGGCUUAACACAUGCAAGUCGAACGCCCCGCAAGGGGAGUGGCAGACGGGUGAGUAACGCGUGGGAAUCUACCCAGUUCUACGGAACAACAGUUGGAAACGACUGCUAAUACCGUAUACGCCCUAAGGGGGAAAGAUUUAUCGGAAUUGGAUGAGCCCGCGUUGGAUUAGCUAGUUGGUGGGGUAAUGGCCUACCAAGGCGACGAUCCAUAGCUGGUCUGAGAGGAUGAUCAGCCACACUGGGACUGAGACACGGCCCAGACUCCUACGGGAGGCAGCAGUGGGGAAUAUUGGACAAUGGGCGCAAGCCUGAUCCAGCCAUGCCGCGUGAGUGAUGAAGGCCUUAGGGUUGUAAAGCUCUUUCACCGAUGAAGAUAAUGACGGUAGUCGGAGAAGAAGCCCCGGCUAANUUCGUGCCAGCAGCCGCGGUAAUACGAAGGGGGCUAGCGUUGUUCGGAUUUACUGGGCGUAAAGCGCACGUAGGCGGUUUUGUUAAGUCAGAGGUGAAAAUCCCCGGGAGCUCAACUCCGGAACUGCCUUUGAUACUGGCAAGCUAGAGUCCGGAAGAGGUAAGUGGAACUCCUAGUGUAGAGGUGGAAUUCGUAGAUAUUAGGAAGAACACCAGUGGCGAAGGCGGCUUACUGGUCCGGAACUGACGCUGAGGUGCGAAAGCGUGGGGAGCAAACAGG
This 704-nucleotide ribosomal RNA is filed under the name uncultured bacterium. Its description in RNAcentral is "bacterial SSU rRNA". It matches the Rfam family "Bacterial small subunit ribosomal RNA", at positions 28 to 776 of the family's 1533-position model. The record is from RNAcentral.